RNAcentral lists this small RNA (627 nucleotides) under human gut metagenome. The record is from RNAcentral.
UUGACGGUGCAGUAUCCUAGUCGGAGUGACCAUCUUCCAGGAAGGGCCUAAAAAUCCUUUGAAGGGCACAUCGAUGAAGUCCCUGGUGUCUGCUUUUUACGCCCAGUUUAGGGUGGAUGCUGGGGGUUAAGGAUCCCGGGCGCGCGCCAAUGGCAUGGUGCAUACGACCCGGUUUCCGUGGAGACCUGAAGCUUGUGCGACGACGGGAUAACCCCCGGAAGGGGUCCGAUCGCGUACGAAUCAGGUAUGAACCUGCAAGGCGGUGCACAGAAUCGUGUGCUGCGUGCAGCGUAGCCUGCCUUGAGUGAGUAUGCGGGGAAGGAAGAACAGAUGAGACGGCGCUGUGGCCACGGUGCUUCUCAUUAUCGCUUCCGGAAACCAUCCUUGCAAAAGAGGCUAAGACUAUGGCACACUCUGUCGUGGAAAACACCUAGGCUGUCUUAACAGGGCAGGCAGGGGAUUACAGUACGGUCUAAGUGGCAAUCGGGUACCCAUUAUCAUGGCAACACUUGGGCGGACGGAUCAAAUGGAAACGGCCUGUGCGGCAACGGCAGGUUCUGUCCGGUGAAAAACAACCCGACCUAAGCCGUAAGAUUUAUCCUGCUUGCUGCCGUCUUUAAAAAAUAU